RNAcentral lists this ribosomal RNA (253 nucleotides) under uncultured bacterium. RNAcentral's name for it is "partial 16S ribosomal RNA". It matches the Rfam family "Bacterial small subunit ribosomal RNA", at positions 524 to 776 of the family's 1533-position model. The record is from RNAcentral.
UACGUAGGGGGCAAGCGUUGUCCGGAAUUAUUGGGCGUAAAGCGCGCGCAGGCGGCUUACUAAGUCUGGUGUGAAGGCCCACGGCUCAACCGUGGAGGGCCAUUGGAAACUGGUAGGCUUGAGUGCAGGAGAGGAGAGCGGAAUUCCCGGUGUAGCGGUGAAAUGCGUAGAUAUCGGGAGGAACAUCAGUGGCGAAGGCGGCUGCCUGGCUCAAUACUGACACUCAGGUGCGACAGCGUGGGGAGCAAACAGG